RNAcentral lists this ribosomal RNA (465 nucleotides) under uncultured bacterium. RNAcentral describes it as "partial 16S ribosomal RNA". It matches the Rfam family "Bacterial small subunit ribosomal RNA", at positions 338 to 795 of the family's 1533-position model. The record is from RNAcentral.
CCUACGGGUGGCAGCAGUGGGGAAUAUUGCGCAAUGGGCGAAAGCCUGACGCAGCGACGCCGCGUGAGGGAUGAAGGUCUUCGGAUCGGAAACCUCUGUCAGCAGGGAAGAACGGUCACUGUGCUAAUCAGCAGUGAAUUGACGGUACCAGCAAAGGAAGCACCGGCUAACUCCGUGCCAGCAGCCGCGGUAAUACGGAGGGUGCGAGCGUUAAUCGGAAUUACUGGGUGUAAAGCGCGCGUAGGCGGUUUGUCAAGUCAAUGGUGAAAUCCCCUGGCUCAACGUUGGAACUGCCUUUGAAACUGGCAAUCUGGAGUGUGGGAGAGGAUAGUGGAAUUCCAGGUGUAGGGGUGAAAUGCGUAGAUAUCUGGAGGAACAUCAGUGGCGAAGGCGACUAUCUGGCACAUAACUGACGCUGAGGAGCGAAAGCGUGGGUAGCAAACAGGAUUAGAUACCCUAGUAGUC